GUGUCAGCAGCCGCGGUAAUACGUAGGUGGCAAGCGAUACUCGGAAUCACUAGGCGUAAAGCGCAGGUAGGCGGUUCGAUAAGUCUGUUGUGAAAGCUCCCGGCUUAACUGGGAGAGGUCAACGGAAACUGUCGGGCUAGAGUGUGGUAGAGGUAGCUGGAAUUCCCGGUGUAGCGGUGAAAUGCGUAGAUAUCGGGAGGAAUACCUAUGGCGAAAGCAGGCUACUGGACCAUCACUGACGCUGAUCUGCGAAAGCUAGGGGAGCAAACAGGAUUAGAUACCCUGGUAGUCC
Molecule: ribosomal RNA, 292 nt
Filed under: uncultured bacterium
Lineage: Bacteria
Description: partial 16S ribosomal RNA
Rfam family: Bacterial small subunit ribosomal RNA
Source: RNAcentral